GUUCUCUUGGAGCGGCGGACGGGUGAGUAUACCUAGGAAUCUGCCUGAUAGUGGGGGAUAACGUUCGGAAACGGACGCUAAUACCGCAUACGUCCUACGGGAGAAAGCAGGGGACCUUCGGGCCUUGCGCUAUCAGAUGAGCCUAGGUCGGAUUAGCUAGUUGGUGAGGUAAUGGCUCACCAAGGCUACGAUCCGUAACUGGUCUGAGAGGAUGAUCAGUCACACUGGAACUGAGACACGGUCCAGACUCCUACGGGAGGCAGCAGUGGGGAAUAUUGGACAAUGGGCGAAAGCCUGAUCCAGCCAUGCCGCGUGUGUGAAGAAGGUCUUCGGAUUGUAAAGCACUUUAAGUUGGGAGGAAGGGCAGUUACCUAAUACGUGAUGUCUUGACGUUACCGACAGAAUAAGCACCGGCUAACUCUGUGCCAGCAGCCGCGGGUAAUACAGGAGGGUGCAAGCGUUAAUCGGGAAUUACUG
RNAcentral lists this ribosomal RNA (477 nucleotides) under Pseudomonas sp. R-35701. RNAcentral's name for it is "bacterial SSU rRNA". It matches the Rfam family "Bacterial small subunit ribosomal RNA", at positions 84 to 556 of the family's 1533-position model. The record is from RNAcentral. Lineage: Bacteria; Pseudomonadati; Pseudomonadota; Gammaproteobacteria; Pseudomonadales; Pseudomonadaceae.